Molecule: long non-coding RNA, 430 nt
Organism: Mauremys mutica (yellowpond turtle)
Lineage: Eukaryota; Metazoa; Chordata; Testudines; Geoemydidae
Exons: 3
Source: RefSeq, a predicted model, not a curated record
GGCAUGAACAAGUCCACAGGGGUGGGUCCUGUAUCUUACUCCCGCCCCCACUUCUCGCAAUGAACCAACGUGGGGGUAUCACUGUGAAAGGGAGCCAAGAGGGGCAGCGCACUAUGCAGUUAUCUGGAUGUAGGAGAAACCUCAGACAACUCUGCAUAGGUGACACAUCUCUGGAGGAGGAGGGAGGUGAUAAUGUCUAGAAGGGAUGUGAAUCUAAGAUGAAGAAUAAUAUGCAAAUCCCUCCCUGUGAGCAAGAUGGCAUGUUGCUAGGAUGGAGCAGGACCAAGCUACCAAUAAAAGAAAAGCUUCUGUAGUCACCAAACUGAACCAGAAAGCAUUGGCCUUGAGGGAUCAUUGCUGAGCACAAGAACAGCAGAACAGUUGGAAAGCUGUUGGUAAAGCAGUAACCACAGUUCUUGAACUGUUUAUU